AUUGAACGCUGGCGGAAUGCUUUACACAUGCAAGUCGAACGGCAGCACGGGGCAACCUGGUGGCGAGUGGCGAACGGGUGAGUAAUACAUCGGAACGUGCCCAAUCGUGGGGGAUAACGUAGCGAAAGUUACGCUAAUACCGCAUACGAUCUAAGGAUGAAAGCGGGGGAUCGCAAGACCUCGCGCGAAUGGAGCGGCCGAUGUCAGAUUAGGUAGUUGGUGGGGUAAAGGCUCACCAAGCCGACGAUCUGUAGCUGGUCUGAGAGGACGACCAGCCACACUGGGACUGAGACACGGCCCAGACUCCUACGGGAGGCAGCAGUGGGGAAUUUUGGACAAUGGGCGAAAGCCUGAUCCAGCCAUUCCGCGUGCAGGAUGAAGGCCUUCGGGUUGUAAACUGCUUUGUUACGGACGAAACGGUCCUUUCUAAUACAAGGGCUAAUGACGGUACCGUAAGAAUAAGCACCGGCAAACUUCGUGCCAGCAGCCGCGGUAAUACGUCUA
This 504-nucleotide ribosomal RNA is filed under the name uncultured bacterium. RNAcentral's name for it is "bacterial SSU rRNA". It matches the Rfam family "Bacterial small subunit ribosomal RNA", at positions 30 to 531 of the family's 1533-position model. The record is from RNAcentral.